RNAcentral lists this ribosomal RNA (425 nucleotides) under uncultured delta proteobacterium. RNAcentral describes it as "bacterial SSU rRNA". It matches the Rfam family "Bacterial small subunit ribosomal RNA", at positions 608 to 1029 of the family's 1533-position model. Lineage: Bacteria; Deltaproteobacteria. The record is from RNAcentral.
CUCAACCGGGGGAUGGCACUUGAAACUGCGGAGCUAGAGUUCUGGAGAGGGUGGCGGAAUUCCCGGUGUAGGAGUGAAAUCCGUAGAGAUCGGGAGGAACACCAGAGGCGAAGGCGGCCACCUGGCCAGAAACUGACGCUGAGGCGCGAAAGCGUGGGUAGCAAACAGGAUUAGAUACCCUGGUAGUCCACGCUGUAAACACUGGAUGCUAGAUGCGGGUGACGUAGAAGUCAUUCGUGUCGCAGCUAACGCGUUAAGCAUCCCGCCUGGGGAGUACGGCCGCAAGGCUGAAACUCAAAGGAAUUGACGGGGGCCUGCACAAGCGGUGGAGUAUGUGGUUUAAUUCGAUGCAACGCGAAGAACCUUACCUGGGCUUGACAUCCCGGGAGUCCGCUGGAGACAGCGGGGUGCCCUUCGGGGAGCCC